CAUUAUUCUCAGGGCGGGGCGGAAUUCCCCACCGGCGGUAAGCAGCACCAGUUGCAAGCCCGCGAGCGCCUUCUUCAAAGAAGGGUCCAGCAGAUCAGGUUUAAAUCCUGAGCCGACGGUUAAAGUCCGGAUGAAAGAGAAUGUGC
RNAcentral lists this non-coding RNA (146 nucleotides) under Pseudoruegeria sp. SK021. RNAcentral's name for it is "FMN riboswitch aptamer (RFN element)". It matches the Rfam family "FMN riboswitch aptamer (RFN element)". Rfam says of the family: The RFN element is a highly conserved domain that is found frequently in the 5'-untranslated regions of prokaryotic mRNAs that encode for flavin mononucleotide (FMN) biosynthesis and transport proteins. This element is a metabolite-dependent riboswitch that directly binds FMN in the absence of proteins. RNAcentral also lists the same sequence under 1 other name. Lineage: Bacteria; Pseudomonadati; Pseudomonadota; Alphaproteobacteria; Rhodobacterales; Roseobacteraceae. The record is from Rfam by way of RNAcentral.